RNAcentral lists this small RNA (405 nucleotides) under Pongo abelii (Sumatran orangutan). RNAcentral describes it as "processed transcript". Lineage: Eukaryota; Metazoa; Chordata; Mammalia; Primates; Hominidae. The record is from RNAcentral.
AAACCUCCUGCAAAAGUGGAAGCGAAGCCGAAGAAGGCAGCAGCGAAGAAAGUUCUGUUUUUGUGAUCCUUUUAAAAAUAAAGCUUCACGGAAGGAUAAAUCUUCAGACAAAAAAGUGCAAACAAAAGGGAAAAGGGGAGCAAAGGGGAAACAGGCCGAAGUGGCUAACCAAGAAACUAAAGAAGAUUUACCUGCAGAAAACGGGGAAACGAAAACUGAGGAGAGUCCAGCCUCUGAUGAAGCAGGAGAGAAAGAAGCCAAGUCUGAUUAAUAACUAUAUACCAUGUCUUAUCAGUGGUCCCUGUCUCCCUUCUUGUACAAUCCAGAGGAAUAUUUUUAUCAACUAUUUUGUAAAUGCAAGUUUUUUAGUAGCUCUAGAAACAUUUUUAAGAAGGAGGGAAUCCC